AACACACUCACUUCCACACAGAGGACACUAAGUCACUCGGAGCAGCUGGCAAAAUGAGACAGCUUUUUCCUUCUUGCUGUUAGCUUCCAGUAUGCACUAAUGAAAGUAAUUCAGCAUUGCUACUGAGAUUUUUUCCCCUCUCCUGAUGUUAUAAUCCUGUGGACCGAGUGUUGUACUGUUCCUAGUUUCCUGACAAUCACUAAUUCUGGGCACAGUGUGAGUCCUGAAGGUGGCAUUGCUAUAGACACAACAUACUAACUGCUUGAGAAAAUGUUGUUUACUUCACAUUCCUGAAAAUUAAUCCUGAAACCUUCCUGAACUACAUUAAUCAACUCCUUUAUCUUUUUCUCCAGUGGAAAAAAUGGAGACUGGCAAUGUCAUCAAAGAGCAGGUGCUCCACCCUGCCUCAUUAGCGCCUUGCCUUUCUUCUUCAGUUGCAAAAUCGUGGAGCCAAGAAUGCUAUUUAUAGCUUUUGCAAGGAUACAGUGACUUGUCCUGUCUCCCCAACUAACCAUUUGUCUGCCUCUUGCACCGUGGUGACAGCACCCUCACCACCUGCAGAAGAGGUGGCUCUGGAACAAUGUGGCAGGUCUGAAGGAGACUGAUGACAGCCAGAACACAGGGCCAAUGGGAGUAGUUAAACACACCAGAUUCUGAGACAGAGGAAGGAAUUAGGAGCAGAAGGAUGAUAAAAGGGGAAUACAGGGGCAUAGAAAGAAGGAGAAGCAGGAACUCUCAUAAAUAAGAGUUGGCUGUAUCCUGAGACAGAAAGUGUUUCUCUACAAGGCUACCUGAAGUGCAGAAUGUCAUCUCAACAGUAUGCAUAUGUUAGAAGAUAUAGGCAGGAUUUCAUUCUUUAGUGUUCUAGAUGGAAAAAGUUUUAAAGGACCUGACUCAGAGUUUGUCUUCCUCUUCCUACAAAGUUAAAGGAGAUCAUUCUCGAAUAAUAAAACUGUAAAUUCACAUUUGGAUAUAGCA
Molecule: long non-coding RNA, 978 nt
Filed under: Numida meleagris (helmeted guineafowl)
Lineage: Eukaryota; Metazoa; Chordata; Aves; Galliformes; Numididae
Description: lncRNA (ENSNMEG00000008826.1)
Source: RNAcentral